RNAcentral lists this ribosomal RNA (984 nucleotides) under fermentation metagenome. RNAcentral describes it as "bacterial LSU rRNA". It matches the Rfam family "Bacterial large subunit ribosomal RNA", at positions 1947 to 2925 of the family's 2925-position model. The record is from RNAcentral.
GGUCCUAAGGUAGCGAAAUUCCUUGUCGGGUAAGUUCCGACCUGCACGAAUGGCAUAAUGAUGGGGGCGCUGUCUCCAGCAGAGACUCAGUGAAAUCGAAUUCGCCGUGAAGAUGCGGUGUACCCGCGGCUAGACGGAAAGACCCCGUGAACCUUUACUGCAGCUUGACAUUGAACUUUGAUCUUACUUGUGUAGGAUAGGUGGGAGGCUUUGAAACCGAGACGCUAGUUUCGGUGGAGCCAAUCUUGAAAUACCACCCUGGUAAUAUUGAGGUUCUAACUCUGCUCCAUAAUCUGGAGCGAGGACCAUGUCUGGUGGGUAGUUUGACUGGGGCGGUCUCCUCCUAAAGAGUAACGGAGGAGUACGAAGGUGCGCUCAGCGUGGUCGGAAAUCACGCGUAGAGUAUAAAGGCAAAAGCGCGCUUAACUGCGAGACCCACAAGUCGAGCAGGUACGAAAGUAGGUCUUAGUGAUCCGGUGGUUCUGUAUGGAAGGGCCAUCGCUCAACGGAUAAAAGGUACUCCGGGGAUAACAGGCUGAUACCGCCCAAGAGUUCAUAUCGACGGCGGUGUUUGGCACCUCGAUGUCGGCUCAUCUCAUCCUGGGGCUGAAGCAGGUCCCAAGGGUAUGGCUGUUCGCCAUUUAAAGAGGUACGCGAGCUGGGUUUAGAACGUCGUGAGACAGUUCGGUCCCUAUCUACCGUGGGCGCUGGAAAUUUGAGAGGAUCUGCUCCUAGUACGAGAGGACCAGAGUGGACGAACCUCUGGUGUACCGGUUGUGACGCCAGUCGCAUCGCCGGGUAGCUAUGUUCGGAAGGGAUAACCGCUGAAAGCAUCUAAGCGGGAAGCCUACCUCAAGAUAAGAUUUCCCUAGGACUUUAUGUCCUCUAAAGAGCCGUUGAAGACUACGACGUUGAUAGGUUGGAUGUGGAAGUGCAGUGAUGCAUGAAGCUGACCAAUACUAAUUGCUCGUGAGGCUUGACUAU